Long non-coding RNA from Tribolium castaneum (red flour beetle), 2687 nucleotides. RefSeq lists it as uncharacterized. The transcript has 4 exons. Lineage: Eukaryota; Metazoa; Arthropoda; Insecta; Coleoptera; Tenebrionidae. The record is from RefSeq and is a predicted model, not a curated record.
UAAUAAUAAUAAUAAUAAUAAUAAUAAUAGAUUUAUUGCCAUCAAUAAAUAAUACAUGGCGCGUCAUAUAAUUAUGUACAUGUAAGUGUAUAUGGGACAAUACAUACAUUUAUUUUAAAUCUGGAGGGUUAUCCAGGAACUCUUGGAUAGAAUAAUAACUCAUUUCUAAUAGUGCGUCCUUUACCUUCUUCUCAAACAGAGCCGGAGCUAGUCUCUUCAUCGGGUCCUGAAGCUUGUUAUAAAGCUUCGGGCCCCAAUGGUCAAUGCUGUGCUGUGACACUUUAAGCCGAUGGUACGGUGUUGAGAGCGCGUCAGCGUGUCUUGUGUUAUGCUCGUGAUAUGAGCCAUUCUUGAUGAACUCGUGGAGGUGGUUGUGGACGUACCUCAGACAGCUCAAUAUGUACGCGGAAGGGAUGGUAAGAAUUUGUUGUUGUUUGAAGGCUGGGCGGCAGCUUUCCCGAUAGUUCAUUUGGCACAGGAUUCUGAUUGCUUUCUUUUGCAGGACGAAGAUCUUGUCAGCAUCUGAUGAAGUACCCCAUAGAAGUAUACCAUAGGUGGCUUUGCUGUGGAAGUUAGCAAAGUAUGUCACCCUUGCAGCUUGGGGAGUUGAGAUAUUCUUGAUUCUUCUGAUACUGAAUAAAGCUGAUGCUAGGUUUUUGCAGGUUUCCUGAAUGUGGUCCUUCCAAGAUGCUUUGCUAUUUAGGUAAAAUCCCAAGAAUUUUACCGAUGUGACGUUGGUGGGUUUUGAAGAUAUAAAUAGUUCCUGAGUCUUGUCUCCAUUGAGUUUCAGUUUAUUUGCUGUGAACCAUUCAUUGGCAUCUUCAAGGAUUUUUCUCAUUUUUGGUUUUAGCGUAUCCUCUGUUUCUUCUUUGAUGCAGAAGGAAGUGUCGUCCGCAUAUAGACACUGUCCAUCCACUCUCAUAUUGAUAGGCAAGUCAUUUACAUAGAUUAUAAAUAGCAGUGGACCGAGGAUUGAUCCCUGGGGCACUCCACACCUUGUUGGCAGAGGCUUUGACCAUUUUUCAUUCCAUUUUACUAUCUGGGUUCUAUUUUCAAGGGAAGAAUUUGUCAAAGGCAGCUGUCAGAGUUGUAUGGAAGACAGUGUAGGCCUCUUUUGCAUUACGGUGUUUGAAGACACGAGCCCACUCAAUUCCGGUUAAGUACUCCUUAAAGUAGUUCUUGCACUGGGUUCUUAAUCUUCAGGACUUGACAGUAGUGAUCAGACAUGCACCAACUUUUUGUCUCUUUUGAGAAGAUUUCUUCUAUGUUAAUAUUUGAAAAUAUAUUAUCUAUGCAGCUAGAAGAAGUUUCAGUUGUUCUAGAUGCCUCUCUCAUUAGUGGUUGCAUACCAUAUGUUGUGAAAGUUUCGAUUAAUAAAGAUUGUUCGACGCCAUCCUUGAGAAUAUUGGUGUUAAAGUCCCCAGCGACAAUGUAUCGUCUAGAGUGGUUCCUUUGUGUCAGGUUUUCUAGUGCUUCAUUAAUUUUAUCUAUGAAGUGCUUGAAGUUCUGAUUUGGAGAUCGAUAUACCGCCAUUAUUAUUAAGUUUUUUGAAGGAAUCUCAGCAGCUGAGAUUUCUGCAGUGAAUUCUUCACAUAGGGGUCUAAUGCCUUCAAUAUUUUUUGCGGAAAUACCCUCCCUUGUUGCGAUUAAGGAUCCGCCAUGCUGGUUAAGUGAUCUGCUAAAGUGGCUUAUAAUAUUAUAUCCUGGGAUGGUUAAGCUUUCCAGGGUGUUGUCCUUGCACCAGUGCUCAGUGAUAAUUACAAUGUCUACUUCGUCUUCUGUUAACUGUAUAGUCAGUGCGUCUAUUUUUUUCGAUAGUGAUUGUAUGUUAUAGUUUAUUAUUGUGGUUAGGUUUUCAAAACCUACCGAUUUGUUGGGGUCUUCGAAAAAACUUGAACCUCUGUAUGGUUAGGUUUUCGGGCCACGACUCAGGUUUCAUCAUUUCUUCUACUAAUUCAAAUCGUAGUCCAACUUUAAAGGAUUUAUUUUGACUCUUAUUGUUGAUGUGCUUGGGUAGUUCUUCCACGGUGAAAUGUUCAUCAGGAUGUAGUUGUUUGAGAUAAUUUGAUACUUUAUCUUCUGUCGUAGUACUUGUUGCACGGCCAACAAACAGCCAUCCCAUCUUACGGGCGCCUCUGAAGCCGUCAGCCUCAUCUACUCUAGCUGUCCCUGUGAUUACGUCCUGUUUCGAUUUUUUUGCAACCUUUGUCCUGAUGUCUUUUUCUUUUUCGUCGUUUCGUUGGUUUAAUGAUUGGCUUGUUUCGGGUUUUUUGUCCUGGACUGUGUUACCCUCCUUGUCAACUUGUUUUUUUUGCUUGUUGUUUUCUAUCACCCUGUCAGAUGGCUUGUUACUUUUUUUCUGAGCUUUUACGUUCGUCAGGUUUUCUCUUUCUUGGUUUGUGAUGACAUCUGUGUGUCCUUUGUUGGAUCUUGUUAUUGGUUUGGACGAUUUGGUUUGUGACUCCGCUAACAGCUGAUCUAACCUUUGUAUUGUUCCGUUUUGAUUUUGUAUUUGUUUCAGACAGUCGUCAAUUUUUCCCUUAAGGUUACUUACAAUAUCUAUAAGGUGUCUCAUCGCUUCCUCUUGCGAGGGUCUGAUUCUGCAGGAGUCGCACACCCAUUUGAUAUUUUCCUUGUAGUUAUCUAGUACCUUGAUUUCUCCAGACGUGUGUCGUGGUCGCCAUUUU